RNAcentral lists this ribosomal RNA (478 nucleotides) under uncultured bacterium. RNAcentral describes it as "partial 16S ribosomal RNA". It matches the Rfam family "Bacterial small subunit ribosomal RNA", at positions 28 to 523 of the family's 1533-position model. The record is from RNAcentral.
GACGAACGCUGGCGGCGUGCUUAACACAUGCAAGUCGAACGAUAAGGCCCUUCGGGGUACACGAGUGGCGAACGGGUGAGUAACACGUGGGUGAUCUGCCCUGCACUUCGGGAUAAGCCGGGGAAACUGGGUCUAAUACCGGAUAGGACUCCGGACUGCAUGGUCUGGGGUGGAAAGCUUUUGCGGUGUGGGAUGGGACCGCGGCCUAUCAGCUGGUUGGUGGGGUGAUGGCCUCCCAAGGCGACGACGGGUAGCCGGCCUGAGAGGGUGACCGGCCACACUGGGACUGAGAUACGGCCCAGACUCCUACGGGAGGCAGCAGUGGGGAAUAUUGCACAAUGGGCGCAAGCCUGAUGCAGCGACGCCGCGUGAGGGAUGACGGCCUUCGGGUUGUAAACCUCUUUCAGCAUCGACGAAGCGAAAGUGACGGUAGGUGCAGAAGAAGGACCGGCCAACUACGUGGCAGCCGCCGCCGUAA